This 422-nucleotide RNase P RNA is filed under the name Beggiatoa leptomitoformis. RNAcentral's name for it is "RNase P RNA component class A". It matches the Rfam family "Bacterial RNase P class A". From Rfam's summary of the family: Ribonuclease P (RNase P) is a ubiquitous endoribonuclease, found in archaea, bacteria and eukarya as well as chloroplasts and mitochondria. Its best characterised activity is the generation of mature 5'-ends of tRNAs by cleaving the 5'-leader elements of precursor-tRNAs. The record is from RNAcentral. Lineage: Bacteria; Pseudomonadati; Pseudomonadota; Gammaproteobacteria; Thiotrichales; Thiotrichaceae.
AGAGUUGAUCAGGCAGUCGCUCUGUUUUUUAAACAGGGAGGAAAGUCCGGGCUUCAAAGGACAAGGUGCCAGAUAACGUCUGGGAGGCGCGAGCCUACGGAAAGUGCCACAGAAAAUAUACCACCUUGUAGAGAGUUUAACCGCUAUCAGCAAGGUAAGGGUGAAAUGGUGCGGUAAGAGCGCACCGCGUCGCUGGUAACAGAGACGGCAGGGUAAACCCUACCUGAAGCAAGACCAAAUAGGGGGACGUUUUAAGUAAUUGUCUUCGGACGUUUAUUUAAAUAACGUGUUGUCCGCACGGUUCCCGGGUAGGUUGCUAGAGGUGUUUGGUGACAAACAUCCCAGAGGAAUGACUGCUACAGACUUAUUUUAUCUCGGUAAAAUAGGUUUGACAGAACCCGGCUUACCGAUCAACUCUCAUC